CAGCCCUAAACGAUGCGCGUUAGGUGUAUCGGUGACCACGAGUCACCGAGGUGCCGAAGGGAAACCGUGAAACGUGCCGCCUGGGAAGUACGGUCGCAAGGCUGAAACUUAAAGGAAUUGGCGGGGAAGCACCACAACGGGUGGAGCCUGCGGUUUAAUUGGACUCAACGCCGGGAAGCUCACCGGAUAAGACAGCGGAAUGAUUGCCGGGCUGAAGACCCUGCAUGACCAGCUGAGAGGAGGUGCAUGGCGUAGUCGUGU
This 261-nucleotide ribosomal RNA is filed under the name uncultured archaeon. Its description in RNAcentral is "partial 16S ribosomal RNA". It matches the Rfam family "Archaeal small subunit ribosomal RNA", at positions 748 to 1009 of the family's 1478-position model. The record is from RNAcentral.